RNAcentral lists this ribosomal RNA (305 nucleotides) under uncultured bacterium. RNAcentral's name for it is "bacterial SSU rRNA". It matches the Rfam family "Bacterial small subunit ribosomal RNA", at positions 337 to 639 of the family's 1533-position model. The record is from RNAcentral.
CCCUACGGGGGGCAGCAGUGAGGAAUAUUGGUCAAUGGUCGGGAGACUGAACCAGCCAAGCCGCGUGAGGGAUGAAGGUACAGAGUAUCGUAAACCUCUUUUGUCAGGGAACAAAGGCGGGGACGCGUCCCCGGAUGAGUGUACCUGAAGAAAAAGCAUCGGCUAACUCCGUGCCAGCAGCCGCGGUAAUACGGAGGAUGCGAGCGUUAUCCGGAUUUAUUGGGUUUAAAGGGUGCGCAGGCGGUCUGGUAAGUCAGCGGUGAAAGCCCGGGGCUCAACCCCGGCCCGCCGUUGAAACUGGCCGG